RNAcentral lists this ribosomal RNA (511 nucleotides) under uncultured bacterium. RNAcentral describes it as "bacterial SSU rRNA". It matches the Rfam family "Bacterial small subunit ribosomal RNA", at positions 28 to 520 of the family's 1533-position model. The record is from RNAcentral.
GAUGAACGCUGGCGGCGUGCCUAAUACAUGCAAGUCGAACGCACAGCGAAAGGUGCUUGCACCUUUCAAGUGAGUGGCGAACGGGUGAGUAACACGUGGAUAACCUACCUCAAGGUUGGGGAUAACAUUUGGAAACAGAUGCUAAUACCGAAUAAAACUUCGUAUCGCAUGAUACAAGGUUAAAAGGCGCUACGGCGUCACCUAGAGAUGGAUCCGCGGUGAAUUAGUUAGUUGGUGGGGUAAAGGCCUACAAGACAAUGAUGCAUAGCCGAGUUGAGAGACUGAUCGGCCACAUUGGGACUGAGACACGGCCCAAACUCCUACAGGAGGCUGCAGUAGGGAAUCUUCCACAAUGGGCGAAAGCCUGAUGGAGCAACGCCGCGUGUGUGAUGAAGGCUUUCGGGUCGUAAAGCACUGUUGUAUGGGAAGAACAAGCUAGAGUAGGGAAUGACUUUAGUUUGACGGUACCAUACCAGAAAGGGACGGCUAAAUACGUGCCAGCAGCCGACGG